This 231-nucleotide ribosomal RNA is filed under the name uncultured bacterium. Its description in RNAcentral is "partial 16S ribosomal RNA". It matches the Rfam family "Bacterial small subunit ribosomal RNA", at positions 546 to 776 of the family's 1533-position model. The record is from RNAcentral.
CGGAAUUACUGGGCGUAAAGUGUGCGCAGGCGGCCGAGCAAGUCGAGUGUGAAAGCCCCGGGCUUAACCGGGGAACUGCGUCUGAUACUGGAUGGCUUGAGUUCGGGAGAGGGAUGCGGAAUUCCAGGUGUAGCGGUGAAAUGCGUAGAUAUCUGGAGGAACACCGGUGGCGAAGGCGGCAUCCUGGACCGAUACUGACACUGAGGAGCGAAAGCCAGGGGAGCAAACGGG